Molecule: ribosomal RNA, 595 nt
Filed under: uncultured bacterium
Lineage: Bacteria
Description: bacterial SSU rRNA
Rfam family: Bacterial small subunit ribosomal RNA
Source: RNAcentral
GGUUGGUAGGGUAACGGCCUACCAAGGCUAUGACGGGUAGGGGACCUGAGAGGGUGGCCCCCCACAAUGGAACUGAAACACGGUCCAUACACCUACGGGUGGCAGCAGUAGGGAAUAUUAGAAAUGGGCGGAAGCCUGAUCUAGCAACACCGCGUGUGCGAUGAAGGCCUUCGGGUUGUAAAGCACUUUUUGGAGGGAAUAGGAAGGAAGGUACCUCCAGAAUAAGUCUCGGCUAACUACGUGCCAGCAGCCGCGGUAACACGUAGGAGGCAAACGUUAUCCGGAUUCACUGGGCGUAAAGCGCGUGCAGGUGGUUCCGUAAGUAGGGCGUGAAAGCUCCCGGCUCAACUGGGAGAGGCCGUACUAAACUGCGGAGCUAGAGGAUGGUAGAGGGAGGUGGAAUUCCAGGUGUAGUGGUGAAAUGCGCAGAUAUCUGGAGGAACACCAGUGGCGAAGGCGGCCUCCUGGACCAUUCCUGACACUCAGACGCGAAAGCUAGGGUAGCAAACGGAAUUAGAGACUCCGGUAGUCCUAGCCCUAAACGAUGCAGACUAGGCGUCGGCGGUUUAAUCACCGUCGGUGUCCAAGCUAACGC